AGUGAACGCUGGCGGUAGGCCUAACACAUGCAGGUCGAACGGCAGCACAGGAGAGCUUGCUCUCUGGGUGGCGAGUGGCGGACGGGUGAGGAAUACAUCGGAAUCUACUCUGUCGUGGGGGAUAACGUAGGGAAACUUACGCUAAUACCGCAUACGACCUACGGGUGAAAGCAGGGGAUCUUCGGACCUUGCGCGAUUGAAUGAGCCGAUGUCGGAUUAGCUAGUUGGCGGGGUAAAGGCCCACCAAGGCGACGAUCCGUAGCUGGUCUGAGAGGCAGAGGAGGCACACUGGAACUGAGACACGGUCCAGACUCCUACGGGAGGCAGCAGUGGGGAAUAUUGGACACUGGGCGCAAGCCUGAGCCAGCCAUACCGCGUGGGGGAAGAAGGCCUGCGGGUUGUAAAGCCCUUUUGUUGGGAAAGAAAGCCAGCUGGCUAAUACCCGGUUGGGAUGACGGUACCCAAAGAAUAAGCACCGGCUAACUUCGUGCCAGCCGCCGCCGUAA
This 506-nucleotide ribosomal RNA is filed under the name uncultured bacterium. RNAcentral describes it as "partial 16S ribosomal RNA". It matches the Rfam family "Bacterial small subunit ribosomal RNA", at positions 29 to 523 of the family's 1533-position model. The record is from RNAcentral.